UUUAUGGAGAGUUUGAUCCUGGCUCAGGAUGAACGCUGGCGGCGUGCCUAAUACAUGCAAGUCGAGCGAACGGACGAGAAGCUUGCUUCUCUGAUGUUAGCGGCGGACGGGUGAGUAACACGUGGAUAACCUACCUAUAAGACUGGGAUAACUUCGGGAAACCGGAGCUAAUACCGGAUAAUAUUUUGAACCGCAUGGUUCAAAAGUGAAAGACGGUCUUGCUGUCACUUAUAGAUGGAUC
Molecule: ribosomal RNA, 241 nt
Filed under: Staphylococcus aureus
Lineage: Bacteria; Bacillati; Bacillota; Bacilli; Caryophanales; Staphylococcaceae
Description: partial 16S ribosomal RNA
Rfam family: Bacterial small subunit ribosomal RNA
Source: RNAcentral